RNAcentral lists this small nuclear RNA (109 nucleotides) under Dasypus novemcinctus (nine-banded armadillo). The record is from RNAcentral. Lineage: Eukaryota; Metazoa; Chordata; Mammalia; Cingulata; Dasypodidae.
GUGCUUACUUAGGCAGCACAUAUACUAAAGUUGGAAUGAUACAGAGAAGAUUGCCAUGGCCCCUGUGCAAGGAUGACAUGCAAAUGGAUGACAAGCAUUCCAUAUUUUU